Molecule: ribosomal RNA, 393 nt
Filed under: uncultured bacterium
Lineage: Bacteria
Description: partial 16S ribosomal RNA
Rfam family: Bacterial small subunit ribosomal RNA
Source: RNAcentral
AUACGGAGGAUGCAAGCGUUAUCCGGAUUCAUUGGGUUUAAAGGGUGCGCAGGCGGAGAGAUAAGUCAGUGGUGAAAAACUGCCGCUCAACGGUAGUCUUGCCAUUGAUACUGUCUUUCUUGAGUAUGGAUGAGGUAGGCGGAAUGUGCAGUGUAGCGGUGAAAUGCAUAGAUAUUGCACGGAACACCAAUUGCGAAGGCAGCUUACUGGACCAUUACUGACGCUCAGGCACGAAAGCGUGGGGAUCAAACAGGAUUAGAUACCCUGGUAGUCCACGCAGUAAACGAUGUUCACUCGCUGUUUGCGAUAUACUGUAAGCGGCUUAGUUAAAGCAUUAAGUGAACCACCUGGGGAGUACGAUCGCAAGGUUGAAACUCAAAGGAAUUGACGGGG